UGGGGAAUUUUGGACAAUGGGCGAAAGCCUGAUCCAGCCAUGCCGCGUGAGUGAAGAAGGCCUUCGGGUUGUAAAGCUCUUUUAGUCGGAAAGAAAGAGUCGCAAUGAAUAAUUGUGAUUUAUGACGGUACCGACAGAAAAAGCACCGGCUAACUACGUGCCAGCAGCCGCGGUAAUACGUAGGGUGCGAGCGUUAAUCGGAAUUACUGGGCGUAAAGGGUGCGCAGGCGGUUUUGCAAGUCAGAUGUGAAAGCCCCGGGCUUAACCUGGGAAUUGCGUUUGAAACUACAAGGCUAGAGUGCAGCAGAGGGGAGUGGAAUUCCAUGUGUAGCAGUGAAAUGCGUAGAGAUGUGGAAGAACACCGAUGGCGAAGGCAGCUCCCUGGGUUGACACUGACGCUGAGGCACGAAAGCGUGGGGAGCAAACA
RNAcentral lists this ribosomal RNA (427 nucleotides) under uncultured beta proteobacterium. Its description in RNAcentral is "bacterial SSU rRNA". It matches the Rfam family "Bacterial small subunit ribosomal RNA", at positions 355 to 774 of the family's 1533-position model. The record is from RNAcentral. Lineage: Bacteria; Pseudomonadati; Pseudomonadota; Betaproteobacteria.